This 649-nucleotide ribosomal RNA is filed under the name Maudiozyma exigua. RNAcentral describes it as "eukaryotic LSU rRNA". It matches the Rfam family "Eukaryotic large subunit ribosomal RNA", at positions 1 to 667 of the family's 3401-position model. The record is from RNAcentral. Lineage: Eukaryota; Fungi; Ascomycota; Saccharomycetes; Saccharomycetales; Saccharomycetaceae.
GACCUCAAAUCAGGUAGGAGUACCCGCUGAACUUAAGCAUAUCAAUAAGCGGAGGAAAAGAAACCAACCGGGAUUGCCUUAGUAACGGCGAGUGAAGCGGCAAAAGCUCAAAUUUGAAAUCUGGUACCUUCGGUGCCCGAGUUGUAAUUUGUAGAGGGCGACUUUGGGGCGGCUCCUUGUCUAUGUUCCUUGGAACAGGACGUCAUAGAGGGUGAGAAUCCCGUGUGGCGAGGAGUGCGGUUCCGUGUAAAGCGCUCUCGAAGAGUCGAGUUGUUUGGGAAUGCAGCUCUAAGUGGGUGGUAAAUUCCAUCUAAAGCUAAAUAUUGGCGAGAGACCGAUAGCGAACAAGUACAGUGAUGGAAAGAUGAAAAGAACUUUGAAAAGAGAGUGAAAAAGUACGUGAAAUUGUUGAAAGGGAAGGGCAUUUGAUCAGACAUGGUGUUUUGUGCCCCUCGCUCCUUGUGGGUGGGGGAAUCUCGCAGCUCACUGGGCCAGCAUCAGUUUUGGCGGUCGGAUAAAACCAGGGGAACGUAGCUUGCUUCAGGAAGUAUUAUAGCCUCUGGGAAUACGGCCAGCCGGGACUGAGGAACGCGAUUCGUCAAGGAUGCUGGCAUAAUGGUUAUAUGCCGCCCGUCUUGAAACACGGACC